Molecule: ribosomal RNA, 378 nt
Filed under: uncultured eukaryote
Lineage: Eukaryota
Description: partial 18S ribosomal RNA
Rfam family: Eukaryotic small subunit ribosomal RNA
Source: RNAcentral
CAAUAGCGUAUAUUUAAGUUGUUGCAGUUAAAAAGCUCGUAGUUGGAUUUCGGAUGGGACUUGCCGGUCCGUCGUUUCGAUGUGCACUGGCAAGUCCUAUCUUGUUGUCGGGGACUAGCUCCUGGGCUUCACUGUCCGGGACUAGGAGCUGACGAGGUUACUUUGAGUAAAUUAGAGUGUUCAAAGCAAGCCUACGCUCUGAAUACAUUAGCAUGGAAUAACACGAUAGGACUCUGGCUUAUCUUGUUGGUCUGUGAGACCAGAGUAAUGAUUAAGAGGGACAGUCGGGGGCAUUCGUAUUUCAUUGUCAGAGGUGAAAUUCUUGGAUUUAUGAAAGACGAACUUCUGCGAAAGCAUUUGUCAAGGAUGUUUNCAUUA